GUAGGUGGCAAGCGUUGUCCGGAAUUAUUGGGCGUAAAGCGCGCGCAGGCGGUCCUUUAAGUCUGAUGUGAAAGCCCACGGGCUCAACCGUGGAGGGUCAUUGGAAACUGGGGGACUUGAGUACAGAAGAGGAAAGCGGAAUUCCACGUGUAGCGGUGAAAUGCGUAGAGAUGUGGAGGAACACCAGUGGCGAAGGCGGCUUUCUGGUCUGUAACUGACGCUGAGGCGCGAAAGCGUGGGGAGCAAACAGGAUUAGAUACCCUGGUAGUCCACGCCGUAAACGAUGAGUGCUAAGUGUUAGGGGGUUUCCGCCCCUUAGUGCUGCAGCUAACGCAUUAAGCACUCCGCCUGGGGAGUACGGCCGCAAGGCUG
This 372-nucleotide ribosomal RNA is filed under the name uncultured organism. RNAcentral's name for it is "partial 16S ribosomal RNA". It matches the Rfam family "Bacterial small subunit ribosomal RNA", at positions 527 to 896 of the family's 1533-position model. The record is from RNAcentral.